CAGCAUACCAUCCUUAACAUGCUAAAUUUAAUUAGAAGCUAAGCAGAGACAAGCCUGCUUACUACUUGGAUGGAAGACCAGUUGAGAAUACUGGGAUUCUGC
RNAcentral lists this ribosomal RNA (102 nucleotides) under Pogona vitticeps (central bearded dragon). The record is from RNAcentral. Lineage: Eukaryota; Metazoa; Chordata; Lepidosauria; Squamata; Agamidae.